RNAcentral lists this ribosomal RNA (253 nucleotides) under uncultured Longilinea sp. Its description in RNAcentral is "partial 16S ribosomal RNA". It matches the Rfam family "Bacterial small subunit ribosomal RNA", at positions 524 to 776 of the family's 1533-position model. Lineage: Bacteria; Bacillati; Chloroflexota; Anaerolineae; Anaerolineales; Anaerolineaceae. The record is from RNAcentral.
AACGUAGGAGGCAAGCGUUAUCCGGAUUUACUGGGCGUAAAGCGCGUGCAGGCGGUUCGGUAAGUUGGAUGUGAAAUCUCCCGGCUCAACUGGGAGAGGUCGUUCAAUACUGUCGAACUUGAGAGCGAUAGAGGAAUGCGGAAUUCCCGGUGUAGCGGUAAAAUGCGUAAAUAUCGGGAGGAACACCAGUGGCGAAAGCGGCAUUCUGGAUCGUUUCUGACGCUCAGACGCGAAAGCUAGGGGAGCAAACGGG